AGGGAGAAACAUAUGAAAACUUUCAUUUUUGGUCAAAAUUGAAGAUCACUCGUGAAGAAAAGUUGGCCCUUUCAAUCUUACUAUUUUGUGGGGACUAGUAGGGAUAUGUUUUUUCUUUGAGUAACUUCAGCUUGGACAAAAUAGGAAAGUUCUCACCUAUUUCUUCCUUCAAAUGUCUUCAAUGUACUGAAUGGUCCCAUCCAAAUUAGUCCUCCCUAUCAAACGAGGCAAUUGAGUAGUUGUGAUGGCGAAGCGUGCAAUUUCAAGCAUUGAUUGAGUUAUUGGCUUGUCAUCCACCCUAGAAAUUUACGU
This 312-nucleotide long non-coding RNA is filed under the name Malus domestica (apple). RNAcentral describes it as "long non-coding RNA (MDOM_LNC007246)". The record is from RNAcentral. Lineage: Eukaryota; Viridiplantae; Streptophyta; Magnoliopsida; Rosales; Rosaceae.